This 1966-nucleotide small RNA is filed under the name Pongo abelii (Sumatran orangutan). RNAcentral describes it as "retained intron". Lineage: Eukaryota; Metazoa; Chordata; Mammalia; Primates; Hominidae. The record is from RNAcentral.
GUUGCCUGGGCCAGGCGCAGUACAGAGUAGAGGGAGCUGUGUCUAAGUCCCAGCUCUGCAUCACCUAACUAGUGGCUUGGCCCCUCUGGACCCCCUGUUCUCCCUGUUCUCACUUUAUUACAUAUAAAGUAUGUAAUACUUUAUAUGUAAUAAAGUGAAGGGAUUGGGCCAGAUGCCCUUGUAAGACCCCUUCCACCUCUACUGUGUGACUGCCCCAUUUUCCUCUUGUGCAUGGAGGGCCCUUCUGAGCCGAUUCCAUGGUUGCUAGCAUGUUCACAGUAUCCCCAGCGUCUGUGUCCUGGCUCUGUGGAUCCCUCAGGAGACCAUUGCUGUGCUGUGUGUUCCAGGGGAUCCUUUCAGAUGAUCAUGGGCUGGCCGCUGCCCUCUGGAGAACCUUCUUCAACCGGAAAUGUGAAGACCCUCGACAUCUUGAAUUGCUGGUAGAGUAUGUGAGGAAACAGAUACAGUACCUGGACUCCAUGAACGGGGAGGAUCUGCUUCUGACAGGGGAGGUGAGCUGGCGCCCUCUAGUGGAGAAGAAUCCUCAGAGCAUCCUGAAGCCCCAUUCUCCCACUUACAACGACGAGGGACUUUGAUGGGCUGGGCCCUCCCCACGGCCGGCCAGCUGGCUUCGAGGAACCGCCAGGAGUGAAGUGCCUGUUGGUCCAGGACCCUGCAGAAAGUGGCCUGAACUGACCUCUGAACAGCAUCUGUCAAAUACCUGGCCCCAUUUGUGUUGAGUUUCCUCUUAGUGUGCCCAGGAGUCUGAUCUGCUGGGGUACAGGGCUGGGAGAACCCCUAGCUCUCCCGGGGUGUCUUCUCCCUUAGGGGAAGCCCCGAGUGAGAGUCCCCCAGCACACAGUCCCCAACCCCCUCCAGCAACUACAUGUGACUGACAGCUUUUCCCAAAGGCCGAGGAAGGGGUGGCAUAGGUUCAAAAGGGAAACCCCCCAGGGCCUGCUGUGGCCUAGGAGCAGAUUGUAAUGCUGUGGAGUUGGGACGGUGAUCACGCGUUGUCCCUCGGCUUUCAGCCAUGGGGUUGAGUUGGCCAUUAAAAGAAACAGAGACUUCUCUUUGCCAUGGCCCUUCUUUAUUCCAGGGACUUAGAAAUUUGCCUGAGAUGGUGGACGCGGUAGUGAGGGCACCAUGCAGUUCAGUUAGAGACAGAGAAAGGGAAGAGGCUGGGAUGGUCUCUGCUACUCUUGCCUCUAGUUCAUGGAGAUGUGUCUCUGUUCAGGCCAAGGCACAGCCAGCAAGGCCCCUCGUCUGGGACCCAGGAGGCCUCUGAUGACCAAGGGCUUUCACAUCCUAAGUCAUUUGGAAGGAGGCCUUGAGAACAAAGUCACCUUUGUCACUCCCAGUGAACUGAAUGAGGAACGUGCUGUCUCCUGUCUUGGCCUCCCCUUUCAUGAGAUAUUGGGGAGAAGAGAACAUUCUUCCUGGCUUAGUUGUAGCAGACCCAGACCUGUGCCCAGCUUUGGUCCCCCUCCCCAACUUCUGAAGCACGUGCUGCAGAGCCACCUUGGUCUGAGCAGCUGAGGACCAGCCCCUCCUCCCUCAGUGCGGGUCAUCUCUUGGGGGAUUUUCUUAAAGUGAAGAAAGGGGGUGGGGAACCAUAUUGCCCCUCCCUCCCCCAUCAAACUUCCUUCAUUUAACUUGCUAUAAAAUGAGUCAUAUAAAGAAACUCUAUAUGGGUGAGGUAUAUCCCACUUCUGUGAAAACAUUACAAAUCAAACCGCCUUCUCUCAGUUUAUUUAAGAUGCUUUUGUUGCGAUCGGAGCUCUAGAGUGAAGCCUCCUGUGUGUGUGUGAGAUAAUAACACCUUGUAACUCAUUACAGCUGGGCACUAUUUACAUAAACCAGAGCUGAGCCAGGCAGGAAUUUGCUGAUUAAUUUAUUUUUAAUGGAGUGAAGUAUACCAUGCACCAAAAUAAACUUUACUGUGUGUACCUAACUGCUCCUGGAA